This is a non-coding RNA of Advenella kashmirensis WT001, 182 nucleotides long. The record is from Rfam. Lineage: Bacteria; Pseudomonadati; Pseudomonadota; Betaproteobacteria; Burkholderiales; Alcaligenaceae.
CCGAUAUAAUCUAGCCAUCACUGGGGAGUAGCCGCUCAUUUUCCUGAGGUUUACGUCAACAUACUUGAUGCAUGCAUCAUGGCGUAAACAGCGAUAUCGCUUGGCAAGACCUUUGAUCACUUUUUUCCGUUCAGACCGGAGGAAAAGGUGAUCAUUCGUCUAUUGUCCGGUCGCGGUAUUGA